RNAcentral lists this long non-coding RNA (2393 nucleotides) under Daucus carota (carrot). Its description in RNAcentral is "long non-coding RNA (DCAR_LNC007344)". The record is from RNAcentral. Lineage: Eukaryota; Viridiplantae; Streptophyta; Magnoliopsida; Apiales; Apiaceae.
UAGUCAAAUCGAAGAUAUCGAAGAGUAGAACCCAAAUCAAUCAUCAAAAACAACAUGAGAUUCACAGGUAGGGAGUAAUUGAAGUUUUAAAAUUCGAAUUAUUAUGAUUUAAAUAGUGAAUUCUUGCAAACGUGAUUGUUUGAUUGUUUGGAUGAUUCCAUGUUGUAGAACGUGUUUUUCUCGUCGUUUUGGUAUAUUAUAUGUUGAAUUUCGAGUUCGGAAACAUCUAGAAAAGUGGGUUUGAUUAUUUGGUUGUGUUCUUGGUGUUCUUGAACAAAGUCACCGGAAAAUUCUUAUUUUUGGUCGGGAUUUUGACUCGUUUAACCUGAGUAGAAACCAAGCGCACCAUUGGAUAGAUAAUAGCUCGUAUAAUCGUUUUGUGGUGUCAAACUGGGCAAAGGGGCAGUAGAAAGCUCGCCGGAGUCUGGAAAUCAACGGCGGCGGCGCGACUUCAGUCGCGUUUUCCGGCUAAUUUAGGUGUUGUUUGUAAGAAAUAAGGAUACAGGCGUGUUGCUGGUAAUGUGUAGAACAAAUCUGGAGUUUUUGAGCAAGUUCUGGGCAGAAGUGACGCCUCCGGCAGCUUGCCGGCGUCGUUCCGGCGGCUGGGGGCGGUGGCAGUGGAAAACUGCCAAUUAACCCCCAAAGUUUUGAAGAAGAAACAAUAUUUCCCCUAAAGUUUUCAUUUCUGGCAAAUUGACCCCUGAUAUUUUUAUAAGUUACACUUUACACCCUUGCCAUAAAGUUUUAAAAACUUACAAAAUAAACCUUUUGAGUUAAUUUUCUAAAAUUGUUUUAUUUAAUUAUUUUAAAUUCCAAAAAUAGUUUUUAAUUAUUUCUUUAUUCAAAAAUAAAUCUAAAUUAGUUUGUUAAUUAAUUUUAAUUAGUAAUUAAUUAUUUUAAUUAGUCAAUUAAUUUAAAUAUUAAUUGAUUAAUUAUUUUAAUUAAUUAUUAAUUGAUUUUAAUUGAUUAAUUAAUUGGAUUUAAUUAAUCCUUUUUGAUUUAAAAAUUCCGAAAAAUAGUUUCGAGCUUUAAAAUAUUUUUCCAAAUUAUUUUCAAGGCUCGAUAAUUGUUUAUGAAUGAUUUCAAGUCCAAUUUCAAGUAUUUGGGACUUGAUUAUUUAUUCGAAAAGUGAUUCUUUUAUCGAUUUUAAUUCCGAAAAAUGUUUAAAAAUUCUGGAAAAUUCCCGAAAAAUCAUUUUUAACCCAAGACUUGAUUUAAUAUCAAUUGGGAUGGGAAACCUUAUGUGUUGUGUGUUGUCUGCUAUUGGUUGGAUGUGUUAUGUGCCGAUAGGAGAGUGAGAAAACUGUUUUGAGCAUAACUUUUGAUCCGUAAGUCGGAAUCAAGUGAAACGAAAGAGAGACAGAAGCUUAUAACGUCUAUUUUAAUAUGAUGUGACUAUAUGGCUGAGUCUAUAAGGUGAAUAAUUGUUGAUAAGUAUGCAUAAUGUGAUAAUAUGUGAUCUAAGUGCUAUCAAGUGAUGAUUAUGUGAAGUACGUGUUAGUUUUGAUAUUGUGAAGUGAUAAAUGAUUCGUAUGAUUGAUAUUGGAUAAGAAUAUAUGGAUUAUAGCUAUUGGAUUUUGUUGGUUGAUUAAUGAUUGAGAUAGGAUAAUAGGUGGAUAGUCUUAUACAUAGACGAGACGAUGUCGGAUUUUCGAUAAGGAUUUAUAUGAUAAUUGAUUGGUGAUAUGUUAUGUGGAAUAUGAUUGACUAUAUGUUAGAGUCAAAGCAUGCUUAUGUGUUACGUGGUAUCUGAUAAGUUUAAAGGGGUAUAUAAGUGGGUAUCGAUAUACGUGAUAUGUAUAUGCGAUAUAUUGUUUAGUGACUAUAGUAUUAUCUUAUUCUCGUAAAGGAUUUGGACGAGACGUGUACGCUCGAAGACGUCAGAAAGUCGGAAUGGUAUUGCAAAGCGAAUAAGGGAUGAAUCGAGUAAGCGAAGCGAUGUGGCGAAUAGAGUAUAGCUAGAGAUGGUCUAGAGAUUAUGAGAUGCAUAGAUUGUGAAAGUGGAAAGAUGAGAAUGAGCUGUGAGACGGGAGUCAGAUUUAAGGCAAGUAUCCUAUACCCUUCUUUUGGAUAUCUUGCGAUUAUUCUGAUCCAUUCUUUUCGUAUGUGUUGCAAAUAUUCGUUCCUCUCUUUUUCAUAUUUGGCAAGUGCAAAUAUUUUUAUCCAUCCUUUUCUAAUCCUCAAAAAUUCAGAUAAUUCCAGUUUUACAAAUUAAUUCGAAGUUCAGAUUGUCAUUGAAGCAUGUGUUGCUCAGUGAUGAUUAGAACCUAGAAUGACUUGGGAUCUUCUUGAUUAUUCAACCCGCCAUUGUCAUGCUGGUUUAGCAGGCUAAAUUCAGUUGCUUAGCCGAUAAUGGAGGAUACUGAAUAGUUAAGGAUUUCCUGAACUAUGAU